AAGGAAUAUUGGUCAAUGGACGCAAGUCUGAACCAGCCAUGCCGCGUGAAGGAUGAAGGUCCUCUGGAUUGUAAACUUCUUUUAUCUGGGACGAAAACGGGAUUUUUAUCUCAAUUGACGGUACCAUUUAUAAGCUCCGGCUAACUACGUGCCAGCAGCCGCGGUAAUACGUAGGGAGCAAGCGUGGGUCGGAUUUACUGGGCGUAAAGGGCGCGUAGGCGGCGCGGUAAGUCACUUGUGAAAUCUCUGAGCUUAACUCAGAACGGCCAAGUGAUACUGCUGUGCUAGAGUGCGGAAGAGGCAACCGGAAUUCUUGGUGUAGCGGUGAAAUGCGUAGAUAUCAAGAGGAACACCUGAGGCGAAGGCGGGUUGCUGGGCCGACACUGACGCUGAUGCGCGAAAGCCAGG
This 408-nucleotide ribosomal RNA is filed under the name uncultured bacterium. Its description in RNAcentral is "bacterial SSU rRNA". It matches the Rfam family "Bacterial small subunit ribosomal RNA", at positions 356 to 764 of the family's 1533-position model. The record is from RNAcentral.